Non-coding RNA from Phascolarctos cinereus (koala), 2851 nucleotides. Lineage: Eukaryota; Metazoa; Chordata; Mammalia; Diprotodontia; Phascolarctidae. The record is from RefSeq and is a predicted model, not a curated record.
AGCCCAGUGCUAAGCACCAGAGAUAUGAAUAGAAAACUGAGGCAGUUUCUCCUCCUAAAGAGGGCAAAGGGAGACAACACGUGGAGGAGGAGGAGGUUUCACCUGCGAGUCAGAUGAUAAGGCUCCUUAAGGUGAGUAAUGUGUCAUCGGCAAGUCAGAAUAGGUUGCAGCCAGAUUAUGGCUUGGAGCCACAGCAAAUACUUGGAGCCUCUCUAUUGGAAAGCUGGUGGUUUGUGGAUCAAAGACCCCAAAUUAGUAAAUUGUAUUUUAUUUCAGCCUCUCUUACCCACCUUUGUGUUCCCUCAGCAGAUUCCUAAGUGUCCAGCCCCACUGUUUCUCUGCUUGGUAACUGGACCACUCCUCCCACAGUUAUGUAACCUGGACUGAAGGGAAGAUCUGAUUGCAAAUAAAUAAUGAUUGCCUUCGGGGGCAAGUCAGAAGUGCCACAGAGCUGGGGGAAGAACCCUCCUAAUGGAAAUAAUACCAGGAAGAGAAGAGGAAAUGGAUUUGGAGUCAGAUCCUAGCAAUGCUCCUGUGUGACUUGGGGCAAAUCGCUUGAGUUCUCUGAAUAUCGUUCUCCUCAUCUGUGCAGAGCACUCCCCCUUGGACUGCUUCCCAGCUCCCACGUACAUUGGCAGGUUGGGUCCUCAAAUCUUGGCUCAUCUCCUUGAGGUGAUGCUCACGAGGUGAUGUUCAUGAGCCCCCAUGCAAUGUGGUCCUCACUGAUUAUCAGCCAGCCAGAGGUAAUGGGGGCUCCUAAAGAAUAUAACAAGGAAUAACGUGACAGGACAUGCCACAUUUAGGGCAGCUGUGUGCAGGGUAGAUUCGAAUCAGUGGCCCUGGAAAGAGACAAGAAGUAACAAGGACCUAAGGAAAAAAUGGGAAACAAAGUUGAUGCCUGUGAAUUGGAAAAUGGCCAAACCAAGUGGUGAUACAUGAACGAAAGGACCCGGGACUGUAAGAAACAAUGGACGUGACAAAUAUGGAGGAGCAUGACCUGACACAAAGCAAAGUGAGCAGAACUAGGAAAACAACUAUGUAAAUGAAGAUACUAACAACUCAUUCAUAGAGCCUGUAACUGCCCAAGUCCAAGGACCCACCGAGUUUGGCUGCAGAGAAGAGAGCCUCAUUCUGCUCUUUUGCCAAGGUGGUGACCCCUACCCUACAUGUCAUGUCAGACUUUUUUUUCCCUCUAUGUUGGUUAUUUUUGCUGAAUGGUUUUCUUCCUCCAUUUUAUCAGGUGAUAUAAGUGAUUGCUCUCUGGCAGGAGGAGAGGCAAGGGAAACAUGUGGAAGCACCAGCUGAGUGAAAACAAAAGGUAGCAAUAAAAAUUUAUUUAAAAAACGUGUUCUUCCCUGGAAAGUAUAAUGAGCAAGCUCAGUUGUGAGGAAGUGUUGAGAAAAUGCCUCUCCUUUUGUUGAAGAGGUGGGAGACUGUGGAUGUGAAGUAUUCCAGAUACCAUCAGAAAUGGCUACGUGCAGGUUGAUUUUUUAAAAUUGCUUUUUGUCCUUCUCUUUGAAAAUCCUUGUUACAAGGCAUGUCAUAGCACUGUUUAUGUUACUGAGUAGAGGCAGGAGGGGUGUACUUGGAAAUGAAGGCGAUGUAAAACUAAAAUACAAGAUUUCAAAGCCCCUCCGGCUCUUGACUGUGUUUAGGUGAAAAGCUAUGCAGAGCAUGCCAUUCCUUGGGGAGAUGUUAAGACCAAAAAGAAGCAGAUGGGCCCUGGUAUGGGAGACAGGACACUUACAUUCAAGUACCAAUCAAUCAAUACACAAUUAUUCAGUGCCUACUAUGUGCCAGGCAGCAAGUAUGUGAUUAAAAUGUCCUCCCCCUCCAGAAAGCCUUCCCUGAUUUCUUUGGCAAUGACCUUUGCCCUCAGAGAGGUAACCUAGAUUUGGUAUGGGGGAGGGGAGGUCCUGAAUCUGUCCCUAGCCCUGAGGCUCACUAGCUGUGUUACUCUGGGGAAGUAAUUUUAUCUUCGUGGGCCCAGAAAGGGGAUAGUCACCUACCCAAGGUAAUAGAGCUAGUAAGUCAUAGAUAGAGAGCUGAAUUUAGAGUCCAAAACCCUUGGUUCGAAUCCUAUGUAUUCAGUCUGAUGGCUAGGGCCUUUGAGUCCACGCCCAAUACUCUCUCUACUCUCCAUCCAGUACCUCCCCUACUUUCCCCUACAGCACUGAGCCCUGGCUUUGAUUCCUUUUCCAAUAGCCCAAUUCCUCUUGGACCGGAAUCUACCUUUAACUCUCAGUAACCUUGGGCAAACAACUUCCCCCUCGGGGUAGCCAUUUUCUUCUUGGUAAAAUGAAAGAUGAGGACAGAUGAGUUCUAAAACUGCUUACAGCUUGAGGAAAUCCAUGACUGUACUCAUUUCCCAACCUGAAAGAGAAGGAAGUAGGCCUCUGGUCAAGGUUGCUAGGGCUUGGUUGGGUGGGGCAAACCCCCAGAGGGUGACAGUAAUGUCCUCUACUCAGAACCCCAUUGUGUUCCCCUGUUGAAGAAGAGCCAUGAAGAUUUUCAGUAUAUACGGGACCUUUCUUUCAGGCUUAUACCUCCUUUGAGUAUGGAGUCAAGCAUUGAGAUUUCGGGGUCAAAGGGUAUGGCCAGUUUAAUCACUUGGACAUAUUUAUUUUAAUACCAGUUUUGCCCAUGUAUGACCUAGAGGCAAGUUGUUAAGCUUCUCAUCUAGAAAGCAGGCACAGGAAUUCUAACCUGCCCUGCCCAAGUGGAUGACGUCUGGAGCUCAGACUGUCCCCUGGCAUUCCUUCCAUCCACUUCAACACUCCCCAGGGGGACCUCAGGGUUAUAAACUCUAUCUGUCAGGCUGGAAACCAAAGCACAGCACUGGACCCCUUGG